AUUAAACGCUGGCGGCAUGCCUUACACAUGCAAGUCGAACGGCAGCACGGGGGCAACCCUGGUGGCGAGUGGCGGACGGGUGAGUAAAGCAUCGGAACGUAUCCUGGAGUGGGGGAUAACGUAGCGAAAGUUACGCUAAUACCGCAUAUUCUGUGAGCAGGAAAGCAGGGGAUCGCAAGACCUUGCGCUCUGGGAGCGGCCGAUGUCGGAUUAGCUAGUUGGUGGGGUAAAGGCCUACCAAGGCGACGAUCCGUAGCGGGUCUGAGAGGAUGAUCAGCCACACUGGAACUGAGACACGGUCCAGACUCCUACGGGAGGCAGCAGUAGGGAAUAUUGGACAAUGGGCGGAAGCCUGAUCCAGCCAUCCCGCGUGUAGGAAUAAGGCCCUAUGGGUUGUAAACUACUUUAUUAGGAAGAAAACUUUGAUUUAUCAGAGCUUGACGGUACCUAAGGAAUAAGCACCGGCUAACUCCGUGCCAGCAGCCGCGGUAAAGUCAGUG
RNAcentral lists this ribosomal RNA (500 nucleotides) under uncultured bacterium. RNAcentral describes it as "bacterial SSU rRNA". It matches the Rfam family "Bacterial small subunit ribosomal RNA", at positions 30 to 530 of the family's 1533-position model. The record is from RNAcentral.